Long non-coding RNA from Leopardus geoffroyi (Geoffroy's cat), 1473 nucleotides. RefSeq lists it as uncharacterized. The transcript has 3 exons. NCBI's taxonomy places the organism in Eukaryota, Metazoa, Chordata, Mammalia, Carnivora, Felidae. The record is from RefSeq and is a predicted model, not a curated record.
AGUGUGUGUGUGUGUGUGUGUGUGCGCGUAGGUGUUGUCCUAAGCAGACACACUCACUAACCUUAUGCUUAUGUCUUCUAUGUCUGUACAAAAUCAGGAAUAAAAUGAAGCACCAAGAUUAUUAUCCAGCUUAAGCCCCAUGGCAGAAAAUUAAGAAAGGCUUCCAAAUUUUUGGUUAAUAGUGAUAUUGCUAAAACUCACCCCUGCAACUGGUAGGCUGGCCGCCCUUCCUCUGACUCAGCCUUGCUCCCCACUGCCCUUUCCCUGGAUUGAUUGAAGCCAUGUGAGAAAUGAACCCGUGCAACUUAGCCACUGAGAACCUACACAGAAGCAAAAGGGCGCCAGGAGAUGCUUGUUUCCUGAAGCUGGCAAAGUUCUUGUGCUUCUCUGGACAAUGACAGUAAUCAUAAGCAACCGGGGCUCCAGAAUGAAGAAGAGGGGUAACAGCUUAAGAGGCAAUGGAAGCAUGCUACAGAAGUGCCGUCAAGGGCGUUAUCAGCACCGGGCUGACUGUGCUUGCUGAAUGAGGCUGGACAACGCUAAAUUGUGCACAGAGUUCAUCGAUUAGCACAGAGAAAUCCCAACAAAAAGCUGGAUGUGGAUGUGGAUCUUGCCAUGGUUGUGUUCACAUGAAGUAUUAAAGUGUUGAAAUUUCCCUCUACACCGAAGAAGCAAUGGGGGAGACUGCUGAAAAUCCAACCUGUUUCCUUAGAUGGCGACUCAAUCUUUACUCUUCCUCUUCCCAGUCCAUCUCAUACAUGGAUUCCAGAAGCUCUUCCAGGAACAACUACUUUUAUUACAUUACCGCUCAACUUGCAAGUCCCAACAAAUGUGAGCUCAGGUCUAAACAUCCCAUCCUGGUAAUGAUGUUCCAGUCCGAUUGGGUGGGAAGGGCACUGGGCUUUGGGUCAGACACACUGACUUUGCAUCACAGCCUACCAUGUUCCCCCGGUGGGACCCUGAAUAAGCUGUCACCUGUGGAAAUCUCUCUGUCCUUAUUUGAUAAAAGGGUAAUGAAGACCGAAUCCCUAAAUUACAGAGCCUUUCUACCUGAAACAGCUCCCAGUGUCUGCAGAGUGAAAGAGAAUCAGCACGAUCAGACUGAGCUUCUUGAAAGCAGGAAUUGAAGAUCAUAUUUUCUGUUCUUUCACAGAACCUCAUGAUGUACUGUGCAAGGAAUUCAUGUUCAGUGAACCUUACUGAUUGGAUACAUACUCCCUCAACCUCUAAUAUUUCUUACCUAAUGCUGAGCAGUGUUUGCACCACACCUGUCAGAAUGGUCCUGAUGCUGAGGUGGUCCUGAAUCCAGAGGGAGAAUUGCUGUGAGGAUCUCUCCAAAGGUCCAGGACACCACCAGCAGAUCUGGGAAAGGGCCGAGUGUGCCCCAAAGGGCAUGGGUAGUGUGUCUGGGGAGGAGGAUGGCAAGGGAAAGUGCUGAGGACAGGGGCUCAUGGGGGUGGGGGAGGAGGUUGG